This 409-nucleotide ribosomal RNA is filed under the name Fusobacteriota bacterium. RNAcentral describes it as "Fusobacteria bacterium partial 16S ribosomal RNA". It matches the Rfam family "Bacterial small subunit ribosomal RNA", at positions 355 to 776 of the family's 1533-position model. Lineage: Bacteria; Fusobacteriati; Fusobacteriota. The record is from RNAcentral.
UGGGGAAUAUUGCACAAUGGAGGGAACUCUGAUGCAGCAACGCCGCGUUCGGGAUGACGGCCUUCGGGUUGUAAACCGCUUUCAGCCAUGACGAAGCUUUUGUGACGGUAGUGGUAGAAGAAGCACCGGCUAACUACGUGCCAGCAGCCGCUGUGAUACGUAGGGUGCGAGCGUUGUCCGGAUUUAUUGGGCGUAAAGAGCUUGUAGGCGGUUUGUCGCGUCGAUAGUGUAAACACGCAGCUUAACUGUGUGCCUGCUGUCGAUACGGGCUGACUAGAGGAGGGUAGGGGAGAAUAGAAUUCCCGGUGGAGCGGUGGAAUGCGCAGAUAUCGGGAGGAACACCAAUGGCGAAGGCGGUUCUCUGGACCUUUACUGACGCUGAGAAGCGAAAGCGUGGGUAGCAAACAGG